GACAGAGGAUGCGAACGUUGCUCGGAAUUACUGGGCGUAAAGCGCGCGUAGGCGGCUACUUAAGUCGGAUGUGAAAGCCCCUGGCUCAACUGGGGAAGUGCACCCGAAACUGAGUGGCUUGAGUACUAAAGAGGGUCGCGGAAUUCCCGGUGUAGAGGUGAAAUUCGUAGAUAUCGGGAGGAACACCGGUGGCGAAGGCGGCGACCUGGGUAGAUACUGACGCUGAGGCGCGAAAGCGUGGGGAGCAAACAGG
This 253-nucleotide ribosomal RNA is filed under the name uncultured bacterium. RNAcentral describes it as "partial 16S ribosomal RNA". It matches the Rfam family "Bacterial small subunit ribosomal RNA", at positions 524 to 776 of the family's 1533-position model. The record is from RNAcentral.